This 524-nucleotide ribosomal RNA is filed under the name uncultured bacterium. RNAcentral describes it as "bacterial SSU rRNA". It matches the Rfam family "Bacterial small subunit ribosomal RNA", at positions 29 to 588 of the family's 1533-position model. The record is from RNAcentral.
AAGAACGCUGGCGGCAGGCCUAAGACAUGCAAGUCGUACGCGAACGACCUUUCGGGGUUAAGUAGAGUGGCGAACGGGUUAGUAACGCGUGGGAACAUACACAGCACAGGGGGAUAACCAUUGGAAACGAUGGCUAAUACCGCAUACGCCCUAUUGGGGAAAGAUUUAUCGGUGUUGGAUUGGCCCGCGUUAGAUUAGCUAGUUGGUGGGGUAAUGGCUCACCAAGGCGACGAUUUAUAGCUGGUUUGAGAGGAUGAUCAGCAACACUGGAACUGAGACACGGUCCAGACUCCUACGGGAGGCAGCAGUCGGGAAUAUUGUGCAAUGGGGGCAACCCUGACACAGCCAUGCCGCGUGAGUGAAGAAGGCCUUAGGGUUGUAAAGCUCUUUCAGAUGUGAGGAUGAUGACGAUAGCAUCAGAAGAAGCUCCGGCUAACUUCGUGCCAGCAGCCGCGGUAAUACGAAGGGAGCUAGCGUUGUUCGGAAUUACUGGGCGUAAAGGGCGUGUAGGCGGAUUAUCAAGU